GAUGAACGCUGGCGGCGUGCCUAAUACAUGCAAGUCGAGCGAACAGAUAAGGAGCUUGCUCCUUUGAAGUUAGCGGCGGACGGGUGAGUAACACGUGGGUAACCUACCUAUAAGACUGGGAUAACUUCGGGAAACCGGAGCUAAUACCGGAUAACAUUUAGAACCGCAUGGCUCUAAAGUGAAAGAUGGUUUUGCUAUCACUUAUAGAUGGACCCGCGCCGUAUUAGCUAGUUGGUAAGGUAACGGCUUACCAAGGCGACGAUACGUAGCCGACCUGAGAGGGUGAUCGGCCACACUGGAACUGAGACACGGUCCAGACUCCUACGGGAGGCAGCAGUAGGGAAUCUUCCGCAAUGGGCGAAAGCCUGACGGAGCAACGCCGCGUGAGUGAUGAAGGGUUUCGGCUCGUAAAACUCUGUUAUUAGGGAAGAACAAAUGUGUAAGUAACUGUGCACAUCUUGACGGUACCUAAUCAGAAAGCCACGGCUAACUACGUGCCAGCAGCCGCGGUAAUACGUAGGUGGCAAGCGUUAUCCGGAAUUAUUGGGCGUAAAGCGCGCGUAGGCGGUUUCUUAAGUCUGAUGUGAAAGCCCACGGCUCAACCGUGGAGGGUCAUUGGAAACUGGGAAACUUGAGUGCAGAAGAGGAAAGUGGAAUUCCAUGUGUAGCGGUGAAAUGCGCAGAGAUAUGGAGGAACACCAGUGGCGAAGGCGACUUUCUGGUCUGUAACUGACGCUGAUGUGCGAAAGCGUGGGGAUCAAACAGGAUUAGAUACCCUGGUAGUCCACGCCGUAAACGAUGAGUGCUAAGUGUUAGGGGGUUUCCGCCCCUUAGUGCUGCAGCUAACGCAUUAAGCACUCCGCCUGGGGAGUACGACCGCAAGGUUGAAACUCAAAGGAAUUGACGGGGACCCGCACAAGCGGUGGAGCAUGUGGUUUAAUUCGAAGCAACGCGAAGAACCUUACCAAAUCUUGACAUCCUUUGAAAACUCUAGAGACAGAGCCUUCCCCUUCGGGGGACAAAGUGACAGGUGGUGCAUGGUUGUCGUCAGCUCGUGUCGUGAGAUGUUGGGUUAAGUCCCGCAACGAGCGCAACCCUUAAGCUUAGUUGCCAUCAUCAAGUUGGGCACUCUAGGUUGACUGCCGGUGACAAACCGGAGGAAGGUGGGGAUGACGUCAAAUCAUCAUGCCCCUUAUGAUUUGGGCUACACACGUGCUACAAUGGACAAUACAAAGGGCAGCUAAACCGCGAGGUCAUGCAAAUCCCAUAAAGUUGUUCUCAGUUCGGAUUGUAGUCUGCAACUCGACUACAUGAAGCUGGAAUCGCUAGUAAUCGUAGAUCAGCAUGCUACGGUGAAUACGUUCCCGGGUCU
Molecule: ribosomal RNA, 1372 nt
Filed under: uncultured bacterium
Lineage: Bacteria
Description: bacterial SSU rRNA
Rfam family: Bacterial small subunit ribosomal RNA
Source: RNAcentral